UUAAGUUCAGCGGGUAGUCCUACCUGAUUUGAGGCCAGAUUUGAAUGUAGUGCGAGGAAGCAUCGUCCCAGGCCGUGCAAGCACAGCGAGUUUCGAUGCUACUCCUAGAUUAGAAGCAGGCGACCAUGGAACGGCGCUACCCUCAACCGACGGCAUAAUACUUAUCAUACCAAAGGUGAAGGCUGCAACCAGCCGACCCA
RNAcentral lists this unclassified non-coding RNA (200 nucleotides) under Urocystis sp. (in: smut fungi & allies). Its description in RNAcentral is "Urocystis sp. (in: Fungi) partial internal transcribed spacer 2". Lineage: Eukaryota; Fungi; Basidiomycota; Ustilaginomycetes; Urocystidales; Urocystidaceae. The record is from RNAcentral.